CUACGUGCCAGCAGCCGCGGUAAUACGGGGGGUGCAAGCGUUAAUCGGAAUUACUGGGCGUAAAGCGCACGCAGGCGGUUUGUUAAGUCAGAUGUGAAAUCCCCGGGCUCAACCUGGGAACUGCAUUUGAAACUGGCAAGCUAGAGUCUCGUAGAGGGGGGUAGAAUUCCAGGUGUAGCGGUGAAAUGCGUAGAGAUCUGGAGGAAUACCGGUGGCGAAGGCGGCCCCCUGGACGAAGACUGACGCUCAGGUGCGAAAGCGUGGGGAGCAAACAGGAUUAGAUACCCUGGUAGUCCACGCUGUAAACGAUGUCGAUUUGGAGGUUGUGCCCUUGAGGCGUGGCUUCCGGAGCUAACGCGUUAAAUCGACCGCCUGGGGAGUACGGCCGCAAGGUUAAAACUCAAAUGAAUUGACGGGGGCCCGCACAAGCGGUGGAGCAUGUGGUUUAAUUCGAUGCAACGCGAAGAACCUUACCUACUCUUGACAUCCAGA
This 492-nucleotide ribosomal RNA is filed under the name uncultured bacterium. Its description in RNAcentral is "bacterial SSU rRNA". It matches the Rfam family "Bacterial small subunit ribosomal RNA", at positions 501 to 992 of the family's 1533-position model. The record is from RNAcentral.